UUAGAUGAGCCUACGUUAGAUUAGCUAGUUGGUAAGGUAAUGGCUUACCAAGGCUAUGAUCUAUAGCUGGUCUGAGAGGACGAUCAGCCACACUGGAACUGAGAUACGGUCCAGACUCCUACGGGAGGCAGCAGUGGGGAAUAUUGGACAAUGGGCGAAAGCCUGAUCCAGCUAUGCCGCGUGAGUGAAGAAGGCCUUCGGGUUGUAAAGCUCUUUCAAUAGGGAAGAUAAUGACGGUAC
Molecule: ribosomal RNA, 240 nt
Filed under: uncultured Ehrlichia sp.
Lineage: Bacteria; Pseudomonadati; Pseudomonadota; Alphaproteobacteria; Rickettsiales; Anaplasmataceae
Description: partial 16S ribosomal RNA
Rfam family: Bacterial small subunit ribosomal RNA
Source: RNAcentral